Molecule: ribosomal RNA, 1050 nt
Filed under: Triticum aestivum (bread wheat)
Lineage: Eukaryota; Viridiplantae; Streptophyta; Magnoliopsida; Poales; Poaceae
Description: partial small subunit ribosomal RNA
Source: RNAcentral
AUGGUUGCCGUGGCGGCCGAGGGCCCGAUCCGCGCCGACGCCGUGCCGGCGGCGGCCGGGGCCGGCGCGGAGAGGGCCGAUGCGGCGGCCGCGGGCGGGGCGGCGGCGGCCAAGGCCAGGGAGGACGAGGUCAGGGAGUACAAGAGUGACGUGAGGAAGCUGGAGGAGCUGUUCAAGAAGCUGAACCCCUCCGCGGAGGAGUUCGUGCCGCUCUCCCGCCGCCAGGGGGACGGCGCACGCCGCCUGUCGGCCGACGCGCCCGUCUUCGUCUCGCCCGCGAUCGACUACUAUGCGCCCCACCACCCGUUCCAGCAUCAGCAGAUGCACGUGCUGCAGGUGGUCGGUGGCGGGGGCGGAGCGGGUAGAGACUCCAGCAGCGACGGAUCCGCCAACGGCCAGCCGAAUCGACGGAGAAGGAAUGGCUUCAACCAGGGGAGACGUAGGAUGGGAGUUCGGCCAAGGCGAACUGAUAGGGAGGAUAGUGUACGGCGAACUGUCUAUGUCUCAGACAUUGAUCAACAUGUCACUGAACAGAAGCUUGCUGAGGUUUUCUCAAACUGUGGUCAAGUGGUAGAUUGCCGUAUCUGUGGUGAUCCAAACUCAGUGAUGCGUUUUGCUUUUAUCGAGUUCGCCGAUGAUGUCGGUGCAAGAGCAGCUCUAACGCUUGGUGGAACCAUUCUUGGUUUUUAUCCUGUCAGAGUUCUGCCAUCUAAGACUGCAAUUUUGCCUGUGAACCCCAAAUUUCUUCCUCGAACAGAGGACGAGAAAGAAAUGGUAUCCAGGACUGUGUACUGUACUAACAUUGACAAAAAUGUUCCAGAGGAUGUUGUGAAGAAUUUCUUUGAGGGAAUUUGUGGGGAGGUUGCUCGACUGAGGCUGCUUGGUGAUUACGUGCAUGCCACGUGCAUUGCCUUUGUUGAGUUUGUUCAGGCAGAAGGAGCAAUUUUGGCCCUGAACUGCAGUGGCAUGCUUCUUGGCUCGCUUCCUGUCAGGGUGAGCCCAUCCAAGACCCCAGUCCGCCCCCGUUCGCCUCGUGCGAUGUCGCACUGA